This 692-nucleotide ribosomal RNA is filed under the name uncultured Alphaproteobacteria bacterium. RNAcentral's name for it is "bacterial SSU rRNA". It matches the Rfam family "Bacterial small subunit ribosomal RNA", at positions 8 to 749 of the family's 1533-position model. Lineage: Bacteria; Pseudomonadati; Pseudomonadota; Alphaproteobacteria. The record is from RNAcentral.
AGAGUUUGAUCAUGGCUCAGAACGAACGCUGGCGGCAGGCCUAACACAUGCAAGUCGAGCGCACCUUCGGGUGAGCGGCGGACGGGUUAGUAACGCGUGGGAACGUGCCCUUCUCUAAGGAAUAGCCACUGGAAACGGUGAGUAAUACCUUAUACGCCCUUCGGGGGAAAGAUUAAUCGGAGAAGGAUCGGCCCGCGUUAGAUUAGAUAGUUGGUGGGGUAACGGCCUACCAAGUCUACGAUCUAUAGCUGGUUUUAGAGGAUGAUCAGCAACACUGGGACUGAGACACGGCCCAGACUCCUACGGGAGGCAGCAGUGGGGAAUCUUGGACAAUGGGCGCAAGCCUGAUCCAGCCAUGCCGCGUGAGUGAUGAAGGCCUUAGGGUCGUAAAGCUCUUUCGCCAGGGAUGAUAAUGACAGUACCUGGUAAAGAAACCCCGGCUAACUCCGUGCCAGCAGCCGCGGUAAUACGGAGGGGGUUAGCGUUGUUCGGAAUUACUGGACGUAAAGCGUACGUAGGCGGAUUAGUCAGUCAGAGGUGAAAUCCCAGGGCUCAACCCUGGAACUGCCUUUGAUACUGCUAGUCUUGAGUUCGAGAGAGGUGAGUGGAAUUCCGAGUGUAGAGGUGAAUUCGUAGAUAUUCGGAGGAACACCAGUGGCGAAGGCGGCUCACUGGCUCGAUACUGACGCCUG